RNAcentral lists this small nuclear RNA (152 nucleotides) under Vulpes vulpes (red fox). Its description in RNAcentral is "U4 spliceosomal RNA (ENSVVUG00000020582.1)". The stretch from base 1 to 134 matches the Rfam family "U4 spliceosomal RNA". From Rfam's summary of the family: U4 small nuclear RNA (U4 snRNA) is a component of the major U2-dependent spliceosome. The structure of U4 snRNA from yeast and human has been reported. The record is from RNAcentral. Lineage: Eukaryota; Metazoa; Chordata; Mammalia; Carnivora; Canidae.
AGCUUUGCGCAGUGGCAGUAUCAUAGUCAAUGAAGUUUAUCCAAGGCAUGAUUAUUGCUAAUUAAUAAAAAAAGGAAAUUACAGUGGAGCUUUUGGUAAUAGAAGUAACAGAUUUCUGAGUAUGGCAAAAGUUUUAAAAAUCCGACUACGGA